ACAAAUACAUUUGAGUAACGUAAUCAACAGGCUAUCUGCCCGUGUUAAGUAGGGAGGGAUGGUUAGGCAACCAAAUGUAAUGCACGCCCCUACGUUUUUUCUUCUUCUAACAGUUAGCAUGAAACGAGGAAGGGACACAGCGUCCUUUUUUUGGCCCCAGGAAACAAAAAAGUGAGAGAACAGCAGUGAGAGAAACAAAUGGAGGUGUUGAGAGAGUUGAGGAGCAGGAAGAGGAAGAGCUGGAGGAGUCUGGGGAGGUUGGUGAGAGAGCAUGUGAUGAAAGUGGGGGCUCUGACACAGAGAGGGAAAUUCCAGAGGGUGAGGAGGAGGAAGAGGAGGGUGAGGACAGGAGGAAGAAAACCUACAGGGACAGAGAGAGGGGACAGCAAGUGGAUCCAUGUGGAUCAAGUACUGCCCCAUCAGAUAUCAGCAAGUCCAAGAAUGAUGUACCAGUACAGCCCAACUUGAAUAUAUUCCCAACCAUUUUGAUGGGGGGCAGAAGACGGAGCUUCAGGCCAAACUGUCCCCUCCCCAGGCCAGCUGCAGAACAGGGUCCAGAGCGUCGGGAACUUCUCCACGUUGUCACGUUGCCUACGUCAGCCCCACCAUCAAGGGCUCGGCCCCCACCAGCCUCCAGUGUCUGAACAUCAGCGGCUGGGGAGCAGCGGGGUCAACACUGGCAUCCCUAUGCUGUGUGGAGCAGGGGCGCCGACUUCCACCACAAGCGAAAUAUCUAAUAAUAUUUUCCUUUACAUAAUUAAAGACAUUUGCACCAUAAAUUGAGGCAGAAAAGGCACACAUUUUUACCACAAUCCAGGUUUCCAAAGAGCCUGUCCACCCUCAGUGUCCUUCGGGACAGCAGCUGGAGGGACGGCUGCUACUGAUGGAUGGAUGGACUGGUGGACACCCCGCUGGCUCGGGUAACUCGCCACACCUCAACAUAAAGCUUUUCCUUGGGGACGUUUUGAAUGGGUUUGACCAAAAAGUAACUGUAACCUUAAAUCUGCUUCAGUCCUGCAUACAAGAGUUCUCCAAAAGGGCCACAAGUGAACUGACCUCUCAUGUCAUCCAUUGAAUUCUAUGCAGAAUUAUUUCGGGGAAGGCGGGAUAUCUUUUAUUUAUUUUUUUUUCUGGAUUUGAGUGGAUGCAGAUCAGGUCUAAUUUUACCGACAGCUUGAUGCUCCUGAGUUUGGUCCGUGCCAAGGGGGGAGUUGUUCCCUGUUGCUCUUGUGCAAUAAACCACUGGCUGUAGGGUACCAGUAGUACUAACCUGCUAAAGAGGCCUGCCACUUUUUAUAAAAAAAGAGCCUCACAAUACUGUAUGUAUUUAUAUAUUUAUUUUAAAUACCUUUUUUUAACUAAUCAGGUUUUUUCCCUCUGGCAACAAGCGCCAAAGAUGCUGCUAAAAUGAAUCCGUCCCUGUUGGUUUGGGCACAUUUGGUCUCAUUUUUACAAGGUCGACUGUAUGUAUCUGUGUGCAAAGCUUACUAUUAAAUGGCUAUUUAUAUAAAUAUAUAUAUUGAUGCAAUAUUAUUGAAUUUGAAAUGUGAGCAAAAGGAAAAAGUGUGAAUGUGUGUACAAACUAGUCUCACCAUGGUGUCACUAAACUGUGCAUAUUAACUCUCUGAAAUAGUUUAAGGCCCUAUAAGGGAUCUGUUCUUGUUGCACUUUGUAUAAAUCUCUGAACUUACUGAUGUUCUCAUCUUCUGUUUACUAAUGUUUGCACUUCCUUUUUAUUCGUGGAGAAGAUUUCAGUUCUACACGGCAUAAUGUAGCACUGUUUUUGUAAUAUUUGGCUUGUGUUUUUAAAUGGCCGUCACUAUGGCACAUUUCACUAAAUCCUGAGCCUUUUGUUCCUGUGAUGAGCUGAAUGAGUGAAACAUUUUAAUAAAACUCACUGAAUCAAAUAUGA
Molecule: long non-coding RNA, 1912 nt
Organism: Perca fluviatilis (European perch)
Lineage: Eukaryota; Metazoa; Chordata; Actinopteri; Perciformes; Percidae
Exons: 4
Source: RefSeq, a predicted model, not a curated record